RNAcentral lists this ribosomal RNA (253 nucleotides) under uncultured bacterium. RNAcentral describes it as "partial 16S ribosomal RNA". It matches the Rfam family "Bacterial small subunit ribosomal RNA", at positions 524 to 776 of the family's 1533-position model. The record is from RNAcentral.
UACGUAGGGGGCAAGCGUUGUCCGGAUUUACUGGGCGUAAAGAGCGCGUAGGCGGAAACGCCAGUCCGGCUUGAAAGCCCCCGGCUCAACCGGGGAGAGUGGCUGGAAACUGCGUUUCUUGAGGGCGAGAGAGGAGGGUGGAAUUACUGGUGUAGCGGUGAAAUGCGUAGAGAUCAGGAGGAACACCCGUGGCGAAGGCGGCCCUCUGGCUCGACCCUGACGCUGAGGCGCGAAAGCGUGGGGAGCGAACGGG